GCGCACGGGUGAGUAACACGUGACUAAUCUACCCUCGAGUGGGGAAUAACUGAGAGAAAUCUUAGCUAAGUUACCGCAUAACACUUACGAGUCAAAGCAGCAAUGCGCUUGGGGAGGAGGUCGCGGCCGAUUAGCUAGUUGGCGGGGUAAUGGCCCACCAAGGCGAUGAUCGGUAUCCGGCCUGAGAGGGCGCACGGACACACUGGAACUGAAACACGGUCCAGACUCCUACGGGAGGCAGCAGUGGGGAAUUUUGCGCAAUGGGGGAAACCCUGACGCAGCAACGCCGCGUGGAGGAUGAAGUAUCUUGGUACGUAAACUCCUUUCGAUGGGGAAGAUUAUGACGGUACCCAUAGAAGAAGCCCCGGCUAACUUCGUGCCAGCAGCCGCGGUAAUACGAGGGGGGCAAGCGUUGUUCGGAUUUAUUGGGCGUAAAGGGUGCGUAGGCGGUUUGGCAAGUCUUAUGUGAAAUCUUCGGGCUCAACCCGAAGCCUGCAUAAGAAACUGCCGGGCUUGAGUAUGGGAGAGGUGAGUGGAAUUUCCGGUGUAGCGGUGAAAUG
This 560-nucleotide ribosomal RNA is filed under the name uncultured bacterium. RNAcentral describes it as "bacterial SSU rRNA". It matches the Rfam family "Bacterial small subunit ribosomal RNA", at positions 98 to 688 of the family's 1533-position model. The record is from RNAcentral.